UUCUGACCGGUGCAAAGGUAGCGUAAUCACUUGUCUUUUAAUUAAAGACUAGUAUGAAUGGCCUAACGAGGACUUAACUGUCUCCUUAAUCUAAUCAGUGAAACUGAUUUCCUCGUGCAGAAGCGAGAAUAAACCCAUUAGACGAGAAGACCCUAUGGAGCUUUAAACUUAAAUUAACCACUUACCACCUCCAUCCAAGGAGCUAAUUUUAAAUAUUGUGGAUUUAAUUAAAGUUUUAGGUUGGGGCGACCAUGGAGCAAAAAAAACCCUCCCUGAUGAUUUUAACCAAGAGCCACAACUCCAAGUAUUAAGACCCUUACUCCUAUUGACCCACUUUGUGACCAACGAACCAAGUUACCCUAGGGAUAACAGCGCCAUCCAUUUCAAGAGUUCCUAUCGACAAAUGGGUUUACGACCUCGAUGUUGGAUCAGGGCAUCCAAGUGGUGCAGUCGCUACUAAAGGUUCGUU
RNAcentral lists this ribosomal RNA (469 nucleotides) under Megophrys parallela. RNAcentral's name for it is "partial 16S ribosomal RNA". It matches the Rfam family "Bacterial large subunit ribosomal RNA", at positions 1940 to 2577 of the family's 2925-position model. The record is from RNAcentral. Lineage: Eukaryota; Metazoa; Chordata; Amphibia; Anura; Megophryidae.